GGAAGUAAAAUCGUAACAAGGUUUCCGUAGGUGAACCUGCGGAAGGAUCAUUACAGAGUUCAUGCCCUCACGGGUAGAUCUCCCACCCUUGAAUAUUUAUACCUUAGUUGCUUUGGCAGGCCGUGGAAGCACCAUGGGCUCCGGCUUAUGCGUGCCUGCCAGAGGAAACAAACUCUGUUUUUAGUGAUGUCUGAGUACUAUAUAAUAGUUAAAACUUUCAACAACGGAUCUCUUGGUUCUG
Molecule: unclassified non-coding RNA, 241 nt
Filed under: plant metagenome
Description: partial contains small subunit ribosomal RNA, internal transcribed spacer 1, and 5.8S ribosomal RNA
Rfam family: Eukaryotic small subunit ribosomal RNA (bases 1-53)
Source: RNAcentral